GCAUCGGUGGUUUAGUGGUAAAAUUAGCCGUUGCCAAGGAAAUCAGCAAUGACUACCAGCCGUCGGCUAGCCCCGGGUUCGAUUCCCGGCCGAUGCA
This is a non-coding RNA of Kalmusia sp. IMI 367209, 97 nucleotides long. Lineage: Eukaryota; Fungi; Ascomycota; Dothideomycetes; Pleosporales; Didymosphaeriaceae. The record is from the annotation of a GenBank genome assembly.